Molecule: ribosomal RNA, 753 nt
Filed under: Vibrio sp. 51BHI30
Lineage: Bacteria; Pseudomonadati; Pseudomonadota; Gammaproteobacteria; Vibrionales; Vibrionaceae
Description: bacterial SSU rRNA
Rfam family: Bacterial small subunit ribosomal RNA
Source: RNAcentral
UGCCGCGUGUGUGAAGAAGGCCUUCGGGUUGUAAAGCACUUUCAGUCGUGAGGAAGGUAGUGUAGUUAAUAGCUGCAUUAUUUGACGUUAGCGACAGAAGAAGCACCGGCUAACUCCGUGCCAGCAGCCGCGGUAAUACGGAGGGUGCGAGCGUUAAUCGGAAUUACUGGCGUAAAGCGCAUGCAGGUGGUUUGUUAAGUCAGAUGUGAAAGCCCGGGGCUCAACCUCGGAAUAGCAUUUGAAACUGGCAGACUAGAGUACUGUAGAGGGGGGUAGAAUUUCAGGUGUAGCGGUGAAAUGCGUAGAGAUCUGAAGGAAUACCGGUGGCGAAGGCGGCCCCCUGGACAGAUACUGACACUCAGAUGCGAAAGCGUGGGGAGCAAACAGGAUUAGAUACCCUGGUAGUCCACGCCGUAAACGAUGUCUACUUGGAGGUUGUGGCCUUGAGCCGUGGCUUUCGGAGCUAACGCGUUAAGUAGACCGCCUGGGGAGUACGGUCGCAAGAUUAAAACUCAAAUGAAUUGACGGGGGCCCGCACAAGCGGUGGAGCAUGUGGUUUAAUUCGAUGCAACGCGAAGAACCUUACCUACUCUUGACAUCCAGAGAACUUUCCAGAGAUGGAUUGGUGCCUUCGGGAACUCUGAGACAGGUGCUGCAUGGCUGUCGUCAGCUCGUGUUGUGAAAUGUUGGGUUAAGUCCCGCAACGAGCGCAACCCUUAUCCUUGUUUGCCAGCGAGUAAUGUCGGGAACUCC